GGGGAGGCCUCCUGGUCUGUCAGUGGGUCUGCAGGACGUGAGCGGCUCGUCCCAGCCCCCAGCCCACACCGGAGGCUUCCUGCUCUCUCUGAGGGUAGGCAGGGCCCACGUAAAUAGAAUCCGUCCCAGGUGCCUGUGAUGCUGUGAUGCCCCCCAGGGGGCCACCCGAGGGCCACCUUCCAGACGCCGUGGGGCCGCCUGCACAGGGCAGAGGGCAGGGGAGGGGCUGGAGAGGGAGAGGGGUCCAGAUUCGGGCUGAGCUCUUGGGGCCGGGUGAAGGCCGGUGUCCUCCAUAGAGGGAGGGCCGGCAGGGGGCCCCCAGGGGGUGGAGAGCAGGGCCCAGGCAGACACCCGAGGACAGUGGCUCUCCCCGAAGUUCGGGCUGUGCCCGGGGCCAGGGGGUCAGGGCGGCCGGACAAACGGGGUGCCGAGCACAGGUGUGGCCUGGGCCGGGGCUGACGGGCGUGUGGGGCACUCAGGCGGCAUCUCCGGGUCCCUCAGAGGCCGUCUGUCUGCGCCCCAUCCCUGGAGGGCUCCAUGCUGAUGCAGAUGCCCAGCUGGGCACUGACUUUCUCCCCGCAGCACCGGUCGUGGGUUCGAGGACAUGAUGUGCCUAGGAGAGUUUUCAAGACGGAACCGGUGCAGGAGGCAUUUUAUCAUGAGGGGAACUUACCUGGGAGCAUGUGCUCACCUUCCGGCCAAGCCCCUGCUGAUUCCUGCUGGGAAUGCUGGGCCCUCCCGCCUUCUCCUCCGGACCCCACGCAUGGUGCCUAGACCCCACCACCACCCUGCCCACCGCUCUGCCGGCUGUCUGUGCACCAGGACAGCGUGCGAGCCGUGCAUUCUGGCGUGUCCCUCCUCCUUCUCCGACUCCAACCACUGGGCCAGCACUUUCGCUGGGGGUGGCUUCUGAUGACUCACCGUGCAACUCUCUUCCUGUCUCUUCCGUCACCUGUGACACCCCCCCCCCCCCCACCAACCCCAGUGGAUCCUGGCGUCUGGGUCCUACUUGACUGCUGCCUGUACUUUUCACUGCCGCUGAGUUUCCUUUCUUCUCAUUCGGGACGAGCCCUGGGUGAGGGGUGGGCUCCCCUCGCUCCUUUGCUGAGGGUGACGGCUGGCGGUUCCCCUUCCUGCGGCCUCCGGGAUCGCAGCCGGGCGGGCGGACCGUGUAUGGAGACGGGCACCACGUGGCCUGCCCUGAGUGUCGGGGUUUUGUUGACUCAGGGCGGAACGCAGCGCAGAUCCACAGACGUGCCUCCUUUGGCCGGACCACCGACGUCCGUCCCCUGAAAGGGCUGUGAUCCAGGGAAGGAGACCGACCAACGGGAGCCGGUGCAUCAGAUCGCUGAGAGCUUCUGUUAAGAUGUUGAGAAAGCACUGACAACAUCAAAACAAAUCUUCUGGGUGUCUAAGAGUCAGGCCGUGAUUUUAUUAUUUAUUACUUUAAGCAAAUGCAACACAGCUGAUAGUUUCAAGGGCCCAUUAAUUAGCGGGUGGGGGAU
Molecule: long non-coding RNA, 1505 nt
Filed under: Felis catus (domestic cat)
Lineage: Eukaryota; Metazoa; Chordata; Mammalia; Carnivora; Felidae
Description: lncRNA (ENSFCAG00000049127.1)
Source: RNAcentral